RNAcentral lists this ribosomal RNA (492 nucleotides) under uncultured bacterium. RNAcentral describes it as "partial 16S ribosomal RNA". It matches the Rfam family "Bacterial small subunit ribosomal RNA", at positions 29 to 507 of the family's 1533-position model. The record is from RNAcentral.
AGUGAACGCUGGCGGUAGGCCUAACACAUGCAAGUCGAACGGCAGCACAGUAAGAGCUUGCUCUUACGGGUGGCGAGUGGCGGACGGGUGAGGAAUACAUCGGAAUCUACUUUUUCGUGGGGGAUAACGUAGGGAAACUUACGCUAAUACCGCAUACGACCUACGGGUGAAAGCAGGGGAUCUUCGGACCUUGCGCGAUUGAAUGAGCCGAUGUCGGAUUAGCUAGUUGGCGGGGUAAAGGCCCACCAAGGCGACGAUCCGUAGCUGGUGUGAGAGGAUGAUCAGCCACACUGGAACUGAGACACGGUCCAGACUCCUACGGGAGGCAGCAGUGGGGAAUAUUGGACAAUGGGCGCAAGCCUGAUCCAGCCAUACCGCGUGGGUGAAGAAGGCCUUCGGGUUGUAAAGCCCUUUUGUUGGGAAAGAAAAGCAGCAGGUUAAUACCCCGCUGUUCUGACGGUACCCAAAGAAUAAGCACCGGCUAACCUCGUG